CAAGUCCUGCCCCUCCUG
RNAcentral lists this transfer RNA (18 nucleotides) under Dendrobathypathes boutillieri. Its description in RNAcentral is "partial tRNA-Trp". The record is from RNAcentral. RNAcentral also lists the same sequence under 1 other name. Lineage: Eukaryota; Metazoa; Cnidaria; Anthozoa; Antipatharia; Schizopathidae.